This 312-nucleotide ribosomal RNA is filed under the name Triticum aestivum (bread wheat). RNAcentral's name for it is "partial small subunit ribosomal RNA". Lineage: Eukaryota; Viridiplantae; Streptophyta; Magnoliopsida; Poales; Poaceae. The record is from RNAcentral.
AUGUGCGCAGGCAUGAUAGAUCUGAAGAAGGCGAUGACAAGUAUCACGGAGCUGGAGGAAGAACUCAAGGCUACACGUGAAGAUUAUGAGGAGGAAAUCAUCAUACUAGUGGAGAAGAAUGACGACCUGAUUAAGAAGAUAAGAAUAUUCAUGGGAGACCCUACACCAGUAGAAGAAGACGAAGAACCCAAGGAGAUUCACCCGGAAGACUACAUCAUCAUCAACGACACCGACUCUGACCUGAGCGAUGAUGACUUUGAAGACGAAGCUAGAGCAGAUAUCAUGGAGUCUGCAACCGAGGAAUAUUUCUAG